AUGCAAGGCAUGCUCAGUUGAAUUGAACUAAAGGAAACAAAGAGAAAUGGAAAAAAAAAGAAAAAAAAUCUUGAAUCAGGUAUCAUUAUUCUAAUUUGAAUGAGGUUGGCAUUGCAUAUCAUGUAUUUUAAUUCAGACUCAGUCUUCUUUUCUUUUUUAUUUUUUUUUCAAUUCCUCUCUGUUAAGCUUUAAUUCCUGUGAUUCAAAUUCAAUUAUCAUUCUACGUACUAUUCAAAUUCAAAUUCAAUUAUCAAUUAGAGCAAACUUGGAUGUGUGGGAUUAAUAUGAUAAAUUAGGCUAUUUUUUUUCUUUCAAAGAGAAGAUGAUGUAAGGAGAAGCAAGAACUAUUGAUUGUUUAAGGGGAAGAUUGCUUGCAGAGAGAGUGACUUCAAAGGCUGCAAAAGAAGAUGCAUAAAUCGUGGUCCAAUUACAUGAUUUGGAGCAGGUUAUUGACUAUUUUAAUAAGGCACUGGAGGGAUCAAGUAUAGAUCUGUCAUAAGCCAGUAUCUCUGUGUAGAUUGAUCUUGGGAAACAAACAAUUACAUGACCGCCACUGCUAAGGCUAGAGCAAGAAUAUCUUCUACAGUGAAAGCUAUAGUUGAAGAGAGAUGAUCAAAGGGAGAGAACUCUGCUGGUAAUAAGAAAAGUGAUUUCCUUGAAAUACUCCUAUCAGCAAAUAGCCUGUCCGAGGAUGAAAGGGUGAGCUUUGUACUAGAUUCUUUGUUGGGUGGGUAUGAAACCACCUCCCUCCUCAUGGCAUUGGCAGUUCUCUUCUUGGGUCAAUCACCAGCUUCUCUGCAACAACUGAGGGUAGACACCAUCUUUCUCUCUCCUCCCCUUCUAGCCAUUUCAAGCUCCAUAUAAAAAAGUUGAAAUUCAAUGGCCUUCUUUGAAAUUUUUUAUAAAAAGAAAAGAGAGAGAAAAUGAAAGAAACCCUUUUUGUUUUUGAAACAGUCAGAGCAUGAAAGUAUAAGAAAUGUGAAAGGAAAAGAAGAGUACUUGAACUAGGAUGACUAUAAGAAAAUGGAGUUUACUCAACAUGUCAUUAAUGAAGCUCUUAGAUGUGGGAACAUGGUCAAGUUUGUGCACCGAAAGGCCCUCAAAGAUGUCAGA
Long non-coding RNA from Magnolia sinica, 1113 nucleotides. RefSeq lists it as uncharacterized. The transcript has 4 exons. The record is from RefSeq and is a predicted model, not a curated record. NCBI's taxonomy places the organism in Eukaryota, Viridiplantae, Streptophyta, Magnoliopsida, Magnoliales, Magnoliaceae.